This 242-nucleotide ribosomal RNA is filed under the name uncultured bacterium. Its description in RNAcentral is "partial 16S ribosomal RNA". It matches the Rfam family "Bacterial small subunit ribosomal RNA", at positions 94 to 334 of the family's 1533-position model. The record is from RNAcentral.
CCGGGCGCACGGGUGAGUAACGCGUAUCCAACCUGCCGUCUACUCUUGGCCAGCCUUCUGAAAGGAAGAUUAAUCCAGGAUGGGAUCAUGAGUUCACAUGUCCGCAUGAUUAAAGGUAUUUUCCGGUAGACGAUGGGGAUGCGUUCCAUUAGAUAGUAGGCGGGGUAACGGCCCACCUAGUCAACGAUGGAUAGGGGUUCUGAGAGGAAGGUCCCCCACAUUGGAACUGAGACACGGUCCAA